This 253-nucleotide ribosomal RNA is filed under the name uncultured bacterium. RNAcentral describes it as "partial 16S ribosomal RNA". It matches the Rfam family "Bacterial small subunit ribosomal RNA", at positions 524 to 776 of the family's 1533-position model. The record is from RNAcentral.
UACAGAGGUCCCAAGCGUUGUUCGGAUUCACUGGGCGUAAAGGGUGCGCAGGCGGCCAUGUGUGUGAGGCGUGAAAGCCCGGGGCUUAACCCCGGAAUUGCACCUCAAACUACAUGGCUAGAGCAUUGGAGAGGGUAGCAGAAUUCAUGGUGUAGCAGUGAAAUGCGUAGAUAUCGGGAGGAACAUCAGUGGCGAAGGCGACCGCCUGGCCCAACACUGACGCUGAGGUGCGAAAGCGUGGGUAGCAAACAGG